GGGGUCCUUGCAGUGCAAUUAGUGUCCUUAGACACAGACACCAGAAGGCUUGCUUACUACCUCAGUCUAUCGUGUGAGGACACGGGGAGGAGAUGACAGUCCAUAAGCCAUGAAGAGAGUCCUUAUGAGGAGCCGCGUGGGUGGGUCCUUGACCUUGGGCUUCCCAAGUUCCAGAACUGUGAGUAAUAAAGACUGGAGUUUAAAAGUACCCCAUCUAUGGUGUUUCUACUGUAGCAGCCCGCAAUGAAGACAGAGCACCUAGCUUCCUGUCGUGCACCUAUCUGCCACAGACCUGUGCGUUGGCACUACCUGACCAUGGAUUUGGGCUCUCCUGUUGGACAGUAGUCUUUGUCAACAGACAUCACAGAAAUAGACCUGGAGGGCAUAAUCUGAUGGUGCUAGGUUUGGAAGAGGCUGAGGACAUUCCUAAUACUACAAGGCUUCAAUGGAAACAAGUUCUGGGACCUUCCAGGCUCAAGUAAAGAAUAGAAAAUAAAAGCAACAGUUGCAGACAGCGAUUGGUUGGCAAAAUCCAAGAGGUAAAGCUGGGAAGAGAGAGCCUAUUUAAAGGGUUUCUUUGAGCAUCAUCUCCAACACUGCACAGACACAUCGAGGUCAAGG
This 621-nucleotide long non-coding RNA is filed under the name Fukomys damarensis (Damara mole-rat). Its description in RNAcentral is "lncRNA (ENSFDAG00000029713.1)". Lineage: Eukaryota; Metazoa; Chordata; Mammalia; Rodentia; Bathyergidae. The record is from RNAcentral.